RNAcentral lists this unclassified non-coding RNA (8486 nucleotides) under Gigantopelta aegis. RNAcentral's name for it is "tight junction protein ZO-1-like, transcript variant X8". The record is from RNAcentral. Lineage: Eukaryota; Metazoa; Mollusca; Gastropoda; Neomphalida; Peltospiridae.
AUGGCGGCCCUCUCUGGCGUUUGUCGCCUUAUCGAACGACACAGAUCAAAGUUAGUGAAAGAACUAGAUGUGGAAAGUAUUUUACCGCGGUUAGUCCGUCAGGGUGUAUUUUCCAAAUCAGAAGAAAGCGAAAUAGUCGCCAUAUCUAAUGCACACAAGCGCACAGACUUCUUUUUGGACACACUAUCUCGGAAAGGACUGGAAGCUUUUCAAGUUUAUUGUGCAGCGUUAGAAGAUUUUGCCCCGCACUUGCUGACCAUGUUUUUAUUGGAGACAUCUGAGGCCGAGGGUGAUGAGAGUAAACCGACCCAGGCGCUACAGCUAGGGUUUGAACUGGCUCUUAAGGAACGGGACGCUGUCCUCCGAGAGAAGUCGAAGGCGGUUGAGGAACGUGAUGUCGCGAUACGUCAUCUACAGCAGCUCAAGUCAGAGCGUGACCUUGCCAUAGCCAGUCUCGAAGACCUCGCUGGGAAACUGCCCAAGAGUGGAAAUAUUCCGAAAAACGAUUCCAGUCCAAGUUUGAAGAAACGGUCCACGUCGCCGGGUAGAAAACAUCGCGCUGCUGUUGCCAUGGAGAGAGACGAUCUAGUAAUCGAGAAUGGAGACAAUAUUCGGUGGGAGACGAAGGAAGUCGUUCUCACAAAGGCUCCCAUGUUUGGUUUCGGUAUAGCUGUGAGUGGGGGAACCGACAGUCCACAUUUCGCUAACGGAGAUCCUUCCAUCGCCAUCUCAGACGUCCUCAGAGCAGGGCCAGCAGAGGGUAAACUACAAGUGAAUGAUCGCAUAGUCAGUGUGAACAGUAUCUCACUGGAGUAUGUUGACCACGCAACGGCCAUCUCCGUUCUCAGGGACUGUGGGAACAAAGUACACUUAAUUAUUCGUCGGAGAAUGAUCGUUCCCAAUCACACAGAAUCAGACUCUCCUCCAUUCAAGAUAACUCUAAACAAAAAGAACAAGAAAGAUGAGUUUGGUAUUGUUCUUGGUUGUAAGUUCUACAUUCGUGAAGUUCAAGGUCACAGCUUGGCAGCAUACGACGGCAGCAUAAAGGAAGGAGACACAGUUCUGAAGAUCAACAACACUCCAGUAGACAACCUGUCCCUGGUGGAGGCGAGGAAAGUGUUAGAAAAGACAAAAGACAAACUGCAGCUGAUUGUUAUAAAGAGAAAACACGACGACAAACACAAACACGUUCACAACAGUCCACAGAAAGAAGAUCACACCCCGGGUUACGACACUCUGCGUCGGCAACAGGACCGUGAAGAUGUCAACAUCUACCGGCCGAGCGUGCGGUCCGAGGAGGACAUCUUCACGCCCGGGUCCCUGCCGACCAGCGUACCCCCCGGUGCCUACCCCAACUCAGAGCAUGUGCAGUAUGACGGCAGAUACGUAUACGAUAAUGAGGCCCCACCCAGGCCUCCUCUUCCCUCAGCUUUUAACGAUAAUCCCGAAAUGGCCCCAAGUCCUAGUAGAAAUGAGGAGUUCUACAGUCCAAAGAAAGAUGGCUACUACGGUGAUAGGGAGACAGUUCAGCAGGGACAGGAGACCAGACUCGAUUAUGAUGAUACGAGAGUCGCGGAUGAAGUUUUUGUCCAUGAAGAGCGCUACGUUGGUAAAAGACUGGACAUGAGGACGGACCCGCGCCGCGUGUCCUUCGUAAAAGACAAGACGAUGGGACUCGGGCUGCGUCUGGCGGGCGGAAACGCCACUGGGAUAUUUAUAGCAUCAGUCCAGCCAGGAACCGCAGCCGAGGCCGAGGGCUUGAUAGAAGGAGAUCAGAUUGUCAUGGCCAAUGAACGAGAUAUGUUGGGUUUGACCCGAGAGGAAGCAGUUUCCCACCUUACCUCCCUUGAAGGGCAGGUAACUCUAAUUGUGCAAUAUAGAAAAGAGGAAUAUGACAGGAUCAUGGCGAGCAUGGAGGCGGGGGAUUCGUUCUAUAUCAAAACACAUUUCAGCAUGGUGGGAACGGAACAGGGGGAGCAUUCGUUUGCUGUUAACGACAUCUUUCAUGUGAAGGACACAUUGUUUCGUGGUGUGGGGGGAUCAUGGUUAGCCAUCAAACUGUCGCCAAAUAACCAGGAGACGAAGAAAGGAACCAUUCCAAACAAACACAAAGCCGAACAGCUGGCGAUUUCCCAGCAGCAGAAUGUGGGUGAGAAAGAGAACUUCCCGGCUAAAGGUCGCGGCAGUCUCUUCAAGAGGAAGGCGGCAAGACGUGCAAAAUCUCUCGGGAAAGACCACUGGGAGGAAGUGAUUUUCUCUGAAACGGGUGCUGGACUCACUACAAAGUAUCCUGCUUAUGAGAGAGUUAUUUUGACUGAACCUGGCUUUAUUCGUCCUGUCGUCAUUUUCGGAGCUAUUGCAGACAUAGCGAGGGAGAGGCUAAAAGCUAUGUUUCCUGACAAGUUUGAAUUCCCACAAACUGGGAAAGGCCUGGACGAGGACAAGAAGUUAAAAUCAGGUAUUAUCCGACUUGGCGCUAUCCGAGACGCGAUCGCUAAGCGUCGGCACUGUCUGCUGGACGUGACCCCACACCACGUGGACCGGCUCAACUACGCCCAGUACUGUCCCAUCACGGUAUUCCUGAAACCGGAGUCGAAACAGGCCGUCAAGGAAAUCAGGUCCAAGUACCGGGGACAUAGCAAAAACCCAAAGAAAGUUUUCGAGCAUAAUGAGAAACUGGAGAAAUUCUACUCACAUUUAUUUACAAGCAUACUUCCUCACAACACGACUGAGAGCUGGUUUCCCCGACUGUGUGAAACCAUUGAGAGUCAACAGCGGAGACAGAUAUGGAUGUCCGAGAAGAAGCCGGAAGAUGACAUUAGUGAUGACUUCCUCUUCCCGAUGCCAAACAGACUGAGUUUCGCAGGCUCGCCUGAGAGUGACAUGGAUCUGAGUCGCGCUCAAGAUGACCUUGACAUGUCGCCCAUGCAGAAGAAACGUCUCGUGAGGUCAUCGUCUGACCCCAGCAUUAACACGAUGGACAAGAUACCCGGGAUUCCCCCCUACCCCUCUCCACCCAGCUACAACAUGGGCUCGCCACAAGACCGGUAUUCAAGACCUGAUAACCAGCUGAGAUCUCAAGAUGCCAAUGAGAUUCGUCCUGAAGACCGCUACUACCCAUCUUACUACGGCGACAGCAUGCCCCGACAAUCUCAUAGUCGUGCUAACAUCGACCCCUACGCUACCUUGACCCCCAGUGAGAGGUUACGAUCAAGAAUGCAAGAUGGUCAAGGGAAGUCACAUGACUUGCCUCAGGAUCGACUCGGCCCUCACAGGGACCGAUACGGGUCAGCCGAUUUGUACCAUGCAGAUUUCGUACCAAACAAACCUGCCGCUCAGCAUAAUUCCCCCAGUCACCCGCCUCCAGUUCAUUCUCACGAACCAAGGGCUCACAAUGAUUCCUCAUCUCACAGCAGUGACUCAUACAGCAAGUACGUGAGUCACCCGUCUAACAAGCACGAUGACACGAAGCUGCGUGAGAAGUUUGGCGCCAUGGGGCUGUCUGGCCGUGAGCGGAGCCCGGGUCAUGACCCGUACCGAUUCACCCGCAGUACCGCAAACCCCGUCGAGCCUGGCCGCGUUGACAAGACCAAGAUUUUAGAUAUCAGUGCUAAAUUCAGGAAAGAAGAUCAGAAACCUGUGUCACCAACAUCCACGCACAGCCCGGGGGUGAGGCAGGAUGGCCCGGGGGUGAAAAAGAAAGAACCUCCCCCAGUGCCGGUGAAAACAUACACACUGAAAGAACGCAGUGCAGAAAUUGCCGACAGGAAGAUGAGAAAUUAUGAAAAUUCUAAUCGAGGAUACAACUACAGCACUGUCCACACAUCGUCUCCCAAUCGUCACGGCGACCGAUCACGUGACAGUGUGGACCAGUCUCGUUACCCCAGCAACCCGGCUGACGGCCUUCCGGAACCUCCGUAUGAGUAUGUUGCGAUCCACCACUCUAACGGCCCAGUGAAGGACCUCCGACACAAAUCUGACAAUCACUUGGACAGGAUCCGACACGACCCCGACCCCUACGACGCACGUUUCAGGGGAGACUACUCCAGCGGCAAGGCUUUCGCAAACCAGAUGUACAUGGACCACAAGGAGUUGGAUCGUGUUCGGUCAGCGAGGGACGUUUAUCGGUCAGCCAACGGGGGGGAUUCUGAUACCUUCCCCCCUCCUCCGCCACUGGAGCAUAGUUACGCUAGGCCAAGGUGAGGCGGGUUUAGUACUAGCAGUCAAAUCAAAAUGGUGAACAGUUAGGUCCCUUUCUUUUGGUGCUGAUGGCUUGUGAACAAAUAAAAAUUCUACAUUUUUUGCUAUGGAAUUCCACGUUAGCAAUAACUGAUAUUUUGAUCCUUGUUCUUGGAUGAAAAGCUUACAAUAACUUUUACAUUUCAAGACCAUGCAAAGAUUUUUGUAUAUAUAUAUAUAUAUAUUUUUGGGGGGAAGGGGGUCAAAUGUGUUUUUAAAACCAAAAUAAUGACCUGUCAAUUGUGACUCUGCCGUUAAUUAAGGAUUUUAAAGAAAAAUGAGAUCUGAAAUAACUGUAUCAAUAUGUUUUUCAGUUUUUUUUGUCAAAUUGUUGUCUGCAAACUUUAAUAUUGUUAUAACUGAAAUCUGUUUGUUACCUUAAGCUUAUUUGUUGUUGAGAGAUUGUAAAUGAUGAAUUAAUUCAAUGCGGGGAGGGGGUGGUGGAAAAAAAAGUAUAUUGCUAAGGACAUGUAUCUGCACUUUAAUACAAUUAAUAUUUGUACACAUUAAUAGUUCUAACAAAUGGUUUAAGAUGGCAGAAAAAUUUUGACAUUGUAUUUUGUAACGAAGGGCAGCAAAAUUAUGACAUUGUACUUUUGUAACGAAGGGCAGCAAAAUUAUGACAUUGUAGUUUUGUAACGAAGGGCAGCAAAAUUAUAACAUUGUAUUUUUUAACAAAGAGUUGUUUAUGGUCUGCAUAUAGUUAUGCCAUCUGUUGCUAUGGUUACUGCUUUUUCACCUGUUUUAUUAUAAAGACUUUAAUGAACCGUUUACAGCCAUCAGCCCAAGCAGUUAGAAAGACGUGCAAUAUUUGUAAAUAGCUAUCAUCCAAAACGUAUCGUACAUCAAGUUGGUAUGAAUUGGGCAUGCAAUCGUUUCGCAGUAGUGCUAAGUAGUAUGGAAUGCCUGUGUUAGCUGGGGAAAGUGCACUUGUAAUAGUGGGUGGGGUUGCCACAUUGCAUUGCAACAGUUCAACAAAAUUAUUAUUGUAGUGCAAAUUGAAGUCAUUUGUGCAAAUUGACAAAAAUAAGCAUACUGUUUAGUCAUGCAAAUGACAACGGUCGUGCGAAAUGACAGCGGUCAGACAAAAUGAUGAUGGUUAUGCAGAAUGACAAGUCGUGCAAAAUGACAACAGUCGUGCAAAAAUGAUGACGGUCGUGCAAAAUGACAACGGUCAUAAAAAAUGACAAGUCAUACAAAAUAAAGUAAGUAGUUCAAAUGCAUUUGUUGUGCAAAAAUAACUCAUUGAUGCAAAAGGACACAAGUUUCGCAAAAUGGUAGUGCAAAAUAGUGAGCCAUGUUUAAGUGGCAUCAGCAAAAUAAUGACAAUGCUGCGAAAUGAAGUCUGAAGCAAAAAUGUCAUUUCUUUUAAUGAAAUGAGAAAAGCAAAAAGACAUGAAUUGCGCAAAGUGAAGUCUUAAUAAAAACGACAAAAUAUGUCCGCAAUUAUGGCAGCAGUGCAAAAUGAUAUCACUUGUGCAAAAUGAUAUCACUUGUGCAAAAUGAAAAUGAUAUCACUUGUGCAAAAUGAUAUCACUUGUGCAAAAUGAAAAUGAUAUCACUUGUGCAAAAUGAAAAUGAUAUCACUUGUGCAAAAUGAAAAUGAUAUCACUUGUGCAAAAUGACUUGUUUUUCAAAAUAGUGCAAAAAUAGCAUUAAUCAUGCAAAAAGACAUUAAUCAUGAAAGCCUACUUCAGUUUUGUGAAGUAACUAAUGUUUGUGAAAAAUUAUGUCAAUUGAUGACAUUUGUACAAAACAAACUGAUGUCAGCUAUGCACAAUGUUUGUUUGUUAAUGGAUUUUGUCAAAUCCUGCAUAAUUAUCUCAUUGUUAUUAACCUUCUCCGAUCCUUUCAUUCUCUCUCUGUCACUCGCUAUUCUUCCUAUAAUCAAAAUAGUUUAGUUAAAAAUCAACAUUUAACAUAAGAUGUAAUAUAUGAAAUAUUUGUUCUAAGUUCUAGGUUGUUCAAAACUAACAGAGCUUGACAAAGCCAACAUCAUUUCUUGUUUGGUUUACUUUUAUUGAAUGAAUAUCUUCAACAAGUUUAAAACAAUGUUCUUGAAUGUAACUUUACCAAAAUGCUUUUCUAUUUUAGAAAGUUGUUUAAGGAUUGUAUUUUAGCAGACUGUUAGGGGUUGAAUUGUAAAAUUGAUUAUAUAGAACACUUGGGGGUUUAAUUUCAUGGGGGCAUGCUGUUAAAAAAUGGUACAUAAUGGUUGGGGCAUGUUUAAUUGUUGUUAUUGUUAAUGUUAUAUACUUUACAUGUUUUCAAAAUACAAAUGUUUGUGGGAACUUUUUAUUUUUGUUGAUAUUUAUAGUGCUCAUAAAGUUUCCUGUUGUGUAUAUUUAUAUAUAUAUAUAUAUAUAUAUAUGUAGAUUUUUCACCUGCAUUAUGUAUAUAGUGCAAAUGAAUAUGAGAGGUUUGGGGAUCAAAACCCUUUUAAAAUUAUUUUCCCACUUGAACUGUUACAUUAGUGACCAAGGUAUAGCAUUGUGUGGGUUUUUUUACCUGCUCACUAUAUACUGUUCAAAUGCCAUUCCUACGGUAUGAAAGGUUUUGGGAUCAAAUCAUUGUUAGUAGACUUUCAAACUUUUCCCAUUCCAAACAGUUUGGAGCAUUAAUGUUUAUGGUUCAUGUUGUUUUAAUUAUGAAUAGUUAUCUAUAUGUACACUAUAAUGUGCAAAUGGCAUUGGAUAGUAACACCUGAGGUAUGGGAGGUUUGGGGAUCGAAACUGUUUGGUGGUUUUCCCCAUUCCAACCAGUUCUCUAGUACAGGUACAUUAAUGACCAUGCUAUAAGUUGUCUGUGAUUGCUGAUAAUCAAAAAUAGUAUCCUCUGUGGUGGUUUCUUGUCUCAUACUGCUGACCACGUGGUAGUAACUCUAGCCUGAACAUCUGGACAUCUCUGUUAAAGAGCCAUCUGUAUGUUUAAUAAUAAUAAAAGAAUAUUAAUAAUACCGAAUAUUUAUCAAACCAUCUAGGAAUCAUCUAUUCUGUAGUGAAGGGUUUAGUUGAGGUGUAAUAUGUUUGAAUAUCACACCAAUGGGUGAUGUACCGGUCUGAGGGCAUCUACAGUUUCUAUAGUAAAUGCAGUGGUUUACUGUGUGGGGAAUAUACAUGUAAAAGAUCCCUUGACAAGAGUAGCCUAUGUGGUGGCAGCAGGUUUCUUCUCUCGUUUGAUUAAAUGCCACAGCUGCCAUAUCAGCUUUUCAUGUGCUGCCAUGUCUGGGAAGAAUACACAAACAUUGCUUGCUGGUUGUCGUGGCAGCAGAAUUCAUCAGUUGUUUGACCAGAUGUCGUAAUUACUAUGAUAAACUCCAUUUACAAUGGGCUGGGUUGUCAGUAAGCAAGUAUUCCUUUCUUUUCAUUUGUAAAUACAUAUAUAUAUUGUAACCUGCUGUAAAGGACACCUAGUAAGUACAGUCACUUGUUUUGUAAAGAUCACCUUUAUUAAGCACUUUUCUAAUGAGAACGUUUUAGAAAGUAUCCCAAAUUUGUGUACAUCUGUGAACCUGCAAAUACAAAUCACUUGCUCAUAAAGGAUUAUAUUUGUAAGGUUUUUAGGUGUCCUUUGUUGACAGGCUGUCAAUUGUAAUAACUUGUUUAUUGUAUUAGGUUAUUCUAUAUGAUUCAUUCAUUUUGAUAGGCUGUCCAUUGUGAAACGUUCUCCUGUGUAAUAGUUUGUCUACUAUAGGCAGGUUAUCGGUUAAUGACAGGUUGAUUGUUGUAGAAGAUUUUCACUGUACAUACACAUUUUAUUCCAUCGAAAACAAGGUUGUAAGUGACAUUUUAUUUAUCACAUUAUAUACUCAAUACCAAGGGCUUCCAAAGCCCGCUUUUCAUUAACACAGUUUUAUACACGUUUCUGUUCACAAGUUUAUUGAUACAGCCCCAGAUACACAGUACCUUUUCCAUACAUACGAUUCUGCGUGCGGCAUUCAUUGACCUAUAUUAAGAUCUUUCAGCACAGUGGUGUCAUAAUGGAAAGUAUUUUCUAGCAGCAUAUAAAAGUACACUCUGAAGGUGUCACGUUUCGUGGUGUAAUCUGCUUGUGAAAAUACAAAUACCGAAAAGCACAUUUCCGAGCUUGGAAACAUGCAUAAGUCACGCGUGGAAUCGCAGUAAAGGCAUACUGUCACAGAUUUAAGGACCUUAUUUCUCUAAAAAUGGAUAAUAAAUACAAAUUACAUUAAUUGUUGGAAACCAAAUCUAGCUAUCACAUCACCGUAACUGAGCCAUGAUGGAGUG